UUUUCUUCAUGGACUGAUUUAAAAGCUGCUCUUGGGGGUAGAAGGAGUCCACUCCAAAGACCAAAUUAGUGACCAAACCAAACAGCAGCUGCUUUAUUCUUGUGCACAAGAGGCAAACAUUCAACAGGGAGAGAGUUGACCCAUGCCGUGUGACUCUUUUAAGCACACUUAUUUGGGAAAGGCACACAUGAGCAGACAAAGGCAAAAAAGGCUGUGACCAGACACAACAACAACAACAACAAAAAAGCAUUUCUUUCCACAGGAAAGAAACACCAUCCGAUAUAGACCGUUCCAAAGAAUGCACUGCAACAUUAAGCAGAAAACGCAAAAUGAAAGUGCACAUAAAAUUCAGCGCGCUUUGCUUUUAAUUAAAAUGCUCAUUCCAUAAAGAAACACCUUGGCCCGGGACUCACGCCCUUGGAGGGCAGGCCUUGCAGGGGUUCGCAGGGGCUGCUCAUGUUUGGCCCCCUAUCCUGCAAAGACUCCUUCAAAAGUAGCUCGCAACAGCAGCGGCGACUGUCAUACCAGCAGUCAGCUGCAGUAUCGGCUCUCUGGAAAGCAGACGGCCCCUCGUCUUCUGCAGAGAUGUGUACAGCUUGACUGAAGUUCUGGCCGCAUUCGCUCUCUGUUGUCCUCCGCCUUGGUGACAUCACAAAGAGAGANGAGACCUGCUCUUCGGAAGGCGGAGAAGUCUUCCAUGUUCUAUACGGGCCUCAGUGUGUGUCCCUGCCACAAGCAGCUGAGCAGAACAGGGUCUUUCACCUGAGGGCAUUUCUAGGUGUGAGAGGUCAAAGCCGGAUUCCGGCACAGGAGGCGCCAUGGAUUACCUCACCGUUCCCGCCAUGUCCUCUGUGCCUCAGAUGGAGAAAGCGGUGACUAAAGAUGACCAGGCACAAGGGCCCUUCUUGGCACCUGGAAGUCCAGGACUCCCCGCUGGUGGCCAAACGCCUGGGACUCCAGCUCCAGACACUCAGGAAACUUCCACAGUGCUGCCGCUGCACAAACUGCUCUCGUAUACAUCCAGGAGCAGAGAGAGUCGGAAACUGAGCAGAUUUUCUAAGUCCAGGCGAGGAAGCAAAGCUACACAUUCGUCACAGAGAUCUAAAGCCGCAGUAAAGCCGGUUCGACGCCGUCGCAAGCGGAAGCAUCGACACCUGACGUUUAAGGACCUGAUGAUUCGCUCGUGGCAAAGGACCCGCCCACACCUGAGCUACCUGUGGCAGAUCAUCUAUGACCUGACCCAAUCCUUUUUCUUUGAUUUCUUCAUCUGUUCUGUGGUGGCCCUGAACACGAUCUUGCUGGUGGCUCAAACCUUUGCUGUGGUAGAAAUCCGGGGAGGUAAUCUUC
This 1347-nucleotide long non-coding RNA is filed under the name Salvator merianae (Argentine black and white tegu). RNAcentral's name for it is "lncRNA (ENSSMRG00000020338.1)". Lineage: Eukaryota; Metazoa; Chordata; Lepidosauria; Squamata; Teiidae. The record is from RNAcentral.